UGAAGACCCCAGAAGCCAUGAGUUGAGAUGAUGGAGCUACAAAAUAGAACCUGGAAGAAUCCAUACUUAGCUGCUGGGAAGUGAGCUGCACUGGAGAGUAUCCAGACUUGCAGAGGGUUUGAGUGGACCAGGAGGAGUUUUCAGAGGAGUCUGUGAUAGGCGCUUUGUGACUCCAGGACACGUUGAGUAUACGUGAUUGAUGAAACCAAUGGUACAUCUGGAACACUGGCUGAAAUGAAGAAUGGAAAAUGUUAGCUUUCCAGGCCUCCUCAGGCCAGGAAGGCAUACUGGAGAGAUACGGCAGCAGAGUCACACAAGCAAGGCAGCUGGAUUUGUGACAAUGAGAGAAGCGCGGGGUCAAAGAACAUAGAGUGUUUUGAGAACAGUGUCUCCAGAUGAGAGGGAAGAGAACUGGUAAGGGAUGAGAAUGGUGAUGUCACAGGGCCACAUUAGGGGCUAAAGAGCUUCAUAUUGCUCUAGAAUGCAAUGGAAGCCACUGAAGAACUUUGAGAGGGGGUGGAGAGGUGUGGCAUGUUUCAGAUUUGUUGGAAAGAUCCUGCUUUUACAUUUUGCAUAUGCAGUACCACUUCUACCUUCCAUGCCCCACCUCCUCAGUUCUAUUUCGCAUUAUUAUCUAAAUAGAAACCUUCUGGAGAAGACAGAAAAGGCAUUUGCCCUGAAUCUGUUUCUUCGGAUAUAAUAUCC
Molecule: long non-coding RNA, 705 nt
Filed under: Homo sapiens (human)
Lineage: Eukaryota; Metazoa; Chordata; Mammalia; Primates; Hominidae
Description: HSALNT0009463
Source: RNAcentral